GACUCUUGAGCACUAACCUAGAUUUAACUAAAUUUUCUCAGCUUCAUUCAGGAAAACAAUAUGGAUGGCAGACUACGGAGUUGACAUCUCUACAAUCCACAGUUUUGUGCCAUGAAUCGAUGAUUUGUGACAUAUCAGUCCCUGGAACUUCUAGGGCCAAUUCCACUAAACUUCCAGUAAUUAAAGAAGUAACAACUGUGCAUAGUGAUGCGCGGUGGUUGAGCAAAAGUGAACACCUAGAUUCUGAGAACUUCAUAGUUUCUUCGAAGCAAUCAAGCAAUGGUGAUAGAGAAUCUCUCGAACGGAUCGAUUUUGGGAAUGUUUAUUAGGGUAGAACGAAUGCGAACGACGGACUACUAACGGGAAGUAGAAGCAAUAGAACCACCACAGGAAGACAGUGGUGAAAUGUUGUGUUUAAUCAGCACCCCUUCUCAAUGAGAAAAACGUCAAUAAGAAACUACCCAAAGUACAAUAAUUCGUUUUCAACGCAGAUUCCGUUGUGUCACGAUGCAAGUUUUUGGCAGGGAGUGGGAGGUUAUGAACCUGAUAUGUCAGAUAUAGAGAGUCGGAGCUGUGUAGAAAGAUUGGUUAGAAUGAGUUCAUAUGAACCUAGAUAUUUGGAGAUUGGAAGGGUCCAAGCAUUCACCGAGGAUAUGCAUAUGGAUUUGGGAAGUUCAGGAAGAAAACGAGCAAGUUUGAGGUCUUCAUCAUCUGAGCAUUAGUUUAAGGCUUCAUGCGAAGGGCGAUGGACGUACCCAUCCCAACCAUACCUUUCUCAAAAGUUUUCAAUGUCUCCAGUUGCUUCAGAAUUUGCCUCAGCUGCAAGACUUCUAAUGGUGUAGUAGUUGUUGAGGAGCGUGAAGAACUGGCUCUCCGACAACCAACGAAAAGAUCCAAUGCUAUGCAUGAAUGGGUCGGCGGCGACUGUAACACUUCCCCAAUUGUGUGCUCUUGGUUUGGACGUCAAGAAAAUUAUGCUGCAAGCCCUACUACUUCUUCGAUGUUAACCAUGGUCAAAUCCAGACUUCGCAUAGGCUACAAACUGUGCACUUACGGCUGUUCCGGGCUUGUGCAUCUACUUGUUUUGAAUUUUUCUUUUCUGUGAAUUUGUUCUAAUGGUUAGAUAAAAGACUAUUAAAUCCAACUGGGUUAGGUUUUGAAAUUUGGAUUUCAAGGAUAAAUAAGGGUUUCUUUAAUCUUAAGCAAUCUACCAAUUGGGUUGAAGCAAAUUUUUCUGAAGAAGUGAUAUAAUCUUAGUUUUUUUUAAAAAAAUCUUAUUUUGAGUGCAA
Non-coding RNA from Physcomitrium patens, 1289 nucleotides. NCBI's taxonomy places the organism in Eukaryota, Viridiplantae, Streptophyta, Bryopsida, Funariales, Funariaceae. The record is from RefSeq and is a predicted model, not a curated record.